CCUACGGGAGGCUGCAGUCGAGAAUCUUCCACAAUGGACGAAAGUCUGAUGGAGCGACGCCGCGUGGAGGAUGAAGUCCUUCGGGACGUAAACACCUUUUAUGAGGGAGAAAUUUAUUGAUAGUACCUCAUGAAUAAGGGGUUGCUAAACUCGUGCCAGCAGCAGCGGUAAUACGAGUACCCCAAGCGUUAUCCGGAAUUAUUGGGCGUAAAGGGUGUGUAGGUGGUCGCGUUAGUCUCCUGUGAAAUCUCCCGGCUUAACCGGGAAUCGGCGGGGGAAACGGCGCGACUUGGAGCAUGUGAGAGGUCAGUAGAACUCAUGGUGUAGGGGUGAAAUCCGUUGAUAUCAUGGGGAAUACCAAAAGCGAAGGCAGCUGACUGGCACAUAGCUGACACUGAAACACGAAAGCGUGGGUAGCGAACGGGCUUAGAUACCCCUGUAGUC
RNAcentral lists this ribosomal RNA (444 nucleotides) under uncultured bacterium. Its description in RNAcentral is "bacterial SSU rRNA". It matches the Rfam family "Bacterial small subunit ribosomal RNA", at positions 338 to 795 of the family's 1533-position model. The record is from RNAcentral.